Homarus americanus (American lobster) is the source of this 404-nucleotide long non-coding RNA. RefSeq lists it as uncharacterized. The record is from RefSeq and is a predicted model, not a curated record. The transcript is spliced from 2 exons. NCBI's taxonomy places the organism in Eukaryota, Metazoa, Arthropoda, Malacostraca, Decapoda, Nephropidae.
UGAGGGUGUGUGUGGGGGAGGUCCUCCCAUACACACACCCUCACUCCCAUCCAUACACUCACCCUCUCACACACCCAACCUCCCACCUUUAAUGUGUGUGGAUGGGACUAAGGUUUUCUCAUUUCUUUCAGAUUGUGCGCCUCCGAGGUGAACGUGUGGCUGGUCGAGAACUCCUCCAAACAGGUAAAGUACUUAUGACAAUAUAUAAUGUCUAUAUGCAAGUAUUUAUGAAUGUUAUGUUUUAAAGUUUUUUGUAUUCCAGGUUUGUUUGUGUGGCUGACUGGACCUACUACAAGGUGCUUCUUGGAGGUAAUAAAGAUACAUCAGUGAUGGUGAGGCCGUCACAUUACCAGCGGUUGUGGAUUUCUCAAUUCAACCUUUAUAUUGCAGACUCCACAUAAGGU